GGAGCAGCCGGGAUUGCUCGGUCCGGGGCAGGCCCAUGGCCGAGCUGGCGCUGAGCCGGGAGCUGGACGAGCGGCUGCUCCACCUGCUGGGGGCGCUGGAGGCGCUGCAGGGCAGGAGGGACGAAUUCAACCGCCGCGUGGAGCAGGGCUGGUUCUCGCUCUCUAGGUCCCGCUUCGCCAUGGGCUGCAAGUCGGUCUCUGCCCUGCAGUACGGGGCCUGCAUGGAGCCGCUGGUCCGGGUGCGCGCCAGGGGGCACUCCCCAGACCGAGAGAGGGGGUCAGUGGUGUGGUUCCCCCUUCCAGCGAGGGGGAGAGCGGGCAGGUCGCCUUCCAGGUCAUCCCAGGAGGAUGGGACCCGUCCGCAGAGGCUGCUGAGGGGUCACCGGCCGUGGAGGAAAUCGGGCCCCAAGACCAAGUCUUGCGGCAGCGAAAGGGCCCAGGGAAAACAGAGGAUCCUGGGUCUCCCCUGGAGGCUGCCCCCGAACCCCCUGAUUCCCCAAAAGGGGCCUCAUCCCAGGACCCACUGACCUGGUUCGGGAUCCUGGUGCCCCAGAGCCUCCGGCAGGCUCAGAGCAGCUUCAAAGAGGGGAUUCUCCUGGCCGGGGAGAUCGCCAGCCUGCAGAGCGACCUCCAGGCCACGCGGGCGCAGUAUCGGGCGCUGCUGGAGAGGAAGCGCCAGCUGCUGGCCACAGAGGGGUAGUGCAGCCAACGCCCCCCUGGGGCUUUCGCACCCCACAUGCUGGGCUGGGCGUAUUGUGACCUCCGACACCCAUGUCAAUAAACUGGGAUCGCUGCU
RNA transcript from Chelonia mydas (Green sea turtle), 796 nucleotides. It is a transcript of the gene named coiled-coil domain containing 115, with no coding region annotated. The transcript is spliced from 6 exons. Lineage: Eukaryota; Metazoa; Chordata; Testudines; Cheloniidae. The record is from RefSeq and is a predicted model, not a curated record.